Non-coding RNA from Selaginella moellendorffii, 88 nucleotides. NCBI's taxonomy places the organism in Eukaryota, Viridiplantae, Streptophyta, Lycopodiopsida, Selaginellales, Selaginellaceae. The record is from Rfam.
GGGUCUUGGGAUAUUUGGGGUUAAGCGUCCUUGGGUUUGAAUAGUACUGGGCUGGGUGACCUCCCGGGAAGUCCAAACUCAAGAGCUU